GGCUCGUCAUGGGGUAGCUAGC
Molecule: microRNA, 22 nt
Filed under: Tribolium castaneum (red flour beetle)
Lineage: Eukaryota; Metazoa; Arthropoda; Insecta; Coleoptera; Tenebrionidae
Description: Tca-Mir-22-P2-v2_5p (mature (guide))
Source: RNAcentral